GAUGAACGCUAGCGGCAGGCUUAAUACAUGCAAGUCGUGGGGCAGCACAGAGUAGCAAUACUUGGGUGGCGACCGGCAAACGGGUGCGGAACACGUACGCAACCUUCCUUCAGGCGGGGA
This 120-nucleotide ribosomal RNA is filed under the name uncultured bacterium. Its description in RNAcentral is "partial 16S ribosomal RNA". It matches the Rfam family "Bacterial small subunit ribosomal RNA", at positions 28 to 142 of the family's 1533-position model. The record is from RNAcentral.